This is an RNA transcript of Eupeodes corollae, 6633 nucleotides long. It is a transcript of the gene named protein no-on-transient A-like, with no coding region annotated. The transcript is spliced from 16 exons. NCBI's taxonomy places the organism in Eukaryota, Metazoa, Arthropoda, Insecta, Diptera, Syrphidae. The record is from RefSeq and is a predicted model, not a curated record.
AAGAAUGAAUUUCAAUAUUUAAAUGAAUUGGAUUCUGCUAUGUGAAGUGAAUCAUUUUUUUUUAAAUCGUAAUUAUUUUUCUUUACUAUCUAUUUUGAAAGUAUCAGGGACUUCAUAAAGAAGUGACUAAGUCUAGGUAGUAGAAAUUUUAGAACAGGGGACAGACACCGAUAUUUUUAAAAGCUCCUAUAGUAAUUCGUAUUCUUUAACUACUCAGGAUGUAUAUGAUUGCUUCUUUGUGUGAUUUCCUAUUUAUUUUAACAUACAUAUUAUGUUCAUAUAUGUUUUUAAAUAAAUAUGUAUGUCAACGUUUUUGCUAUUUAUAAGAAAUUAAAGGUUAUAAAUGAAAAACAAAAUGAAAGAAAGGAACGUCAACACUUAACAUAACAUAAAAUAUUUAAUUUUGUGACUCGAAUAACAUAAAUGUUGAACUGGAUUUUUAGCGGUAAGUAUACAAUAAAUAGGUAUUCAAAUGUUAUCCAAUUCGAAAGAUACAUACAUGUAUCGAAAACCAUUUCAAGAAGACUAAUGAAGAAAAGGUGUAGUCGUUAUUUGUAUUUAAAUAAAAUAACUUGCGUAUUUUAAUUAUAUUUCUUAUUGAUUUCAUCCCAUACACUGCCACUCCAGUUUUUGUAUAAACAUGAACAUAUAUGUAAAUAUAUAGAUAGAUGUCUACAUCUAUGCAUAUCAUACUGUAUCCCUGCUUUUCGUUGAUACUUUUCAACUUCCUCAGGUUCAAAAUGUAUUUUAAGUUUUAUGGGCUUUGCUUCAAUUAAAUUUUUCAACUUUACAAUUAGCCGAAAAAGUAGUUUGAAAAAACUAUGAAAACUUAGACAGUACGUUUUGAUGACUUGAAAUAAGUUAUGGAUCCCCAAAAUAAAACACAUUGUAACCAGAGACACAAAAUAUUUUGUAUGUACAUACAUUUGUUUUAAAUUACAAUUAGCGUAUGUAUUAAGCAAACAUUAAUUGGAAAAAAGUAUUUUGACAUAAUGCACAAACAUACAUAUAUUAUUUAUUCUAAUUUUAUUUGGCCAGUUAAUGUUGUAAGAUCUCAGAAAUGUCUACUGUCGAGUUCACGUUUCGCUUCACUAAUUACUUUUGAAGACAUGGAUCACACUAGUUUGACAUUUUCAACAUACAUACAUCAUAAUUUUCGAGGAUUUCUCCGAUUUGUGUAUCCGAACAGUUACGAUAUUACAAAAUUCGUACAUUUGGGACAGACCUGACACUAUUCCUCUCCGAUGAGUUACCUCAAUAGGGAUGUAUCUAUAUAUUUCAUUCCCCAGUUUUGUCAAUCUGACUGAGAAAAUUCUAAGACAUUUUGGAAAUAUAAACUGAUCAAUAAUUCGUUUCGUCAAAUUUUGGUUUAAUCUAUUAAUUUUAAAAAUAUUCUCUAUUUAAUAUUACCUAUUAAAUUUAAUUUGGAAAAACGACGGGAAUAAAUCAAGAUUUAAAGUAAAGUAUUUGGGGAUAUACUUGAACAGACUAUAAAGUGUCUCGAGAAACCGUAAAUAAGCAACACAAAAUCCACACAAAAUUUUCCACGUUCAAAGCGCCCACCCAAAACAAGUUAGAUAUGAGGAUCGUUCAAUAAUAAAAACGACAAUCAAAAACGAGUACUCCGUGGUAGUGACACGGUAAUGUCUCUGAGAUGCACAUAGUCAAAUCGAUAAAUAAUAACCAAAAUUUGCAAAUUAAAAUAAAACACUCCCUUUAAUCACGUACCGAAACUUUGUUAACACUCUUCUAUUAGCUUCACUUGUACGUAUGAUUUUAAAAGACUCCUAUGGACUCAAUUUUAUGUAUUUAAAAUGUAUGAACAUAUUCAAAGCCGAUGAGAAUACAAUAACUUAAUACUGUUAUUAACAAUUAAUCGAGAACCAAACAGUGAAUAAUAAAUAUAUCAAGUUAAGAAUACAUGACAAUUUCAUUCUUAAGUUAUGCCUGAAUUUUUAUUUUUUUCUGACAACAAUUUUUGUUCACAUUAUUUUGUCGGUACACAUUUAAGAAAAAAAAAAAAAGUAUGUAUUAGUUUAAAAACUAAAAUUAAAAUAAUUUGAACAAUUUUCUUACUUUUGAGUAAGAAAAGUCAUACUUUACCUUCAUGUAGUGAAAACUAUUUAAUGAGCACACAAAGAAAAUACAGUAGACUUACAGUAACUACAAUUAAGCUAAUGAAAGUAAUAUAAAAUCUUUAAGAAAAACCUCGUCAAUAUUCUUGUUUGGUUAAAAAUGUUAAGUUUUUGGUAAGAUUUUUAAUCUGGAAUUAUAGUCUUAAGCUUUCUUUAAUAGAUUCACCGAAAUACUACAUUUAAUACCAACGCAAAGUAAUUUUAGCAAUGGAUAAUCGCGACAAUUGUGUGAAAUUUAAAAACAUUCAAAAAUUAUGUUCAAAAUGACUUGUUUAGAAGAAGAGAAACUAACAUGAAUGGCUAAACCUUGAAGUUUAAUGGCAUCAAAAGUUCUGUAGCGAGAUUUUGGUUCACAAUUCACUUCCAGAACGUUUCUUCGCAUCUUGUAGGGGAAUGGCACUAAAUCACUAUCUCCAAAGAAGAAAACACGACAAGCCAAGACCCGGAGCAGAUUCAUUUUGCAUAAACAAAAAAACAUCUACCAUGUGCCUUUUAGGCGUAAAGUGUUGAAAAAUAUUGCUCGUCGCCCAGUGUGAGAAGCACACUUGUUAAAACGUAGACGUGACAACAAAGGUCUUAAAGGUUGAUUUCUUUGAUGGUCAAUUGUUCAAUUUUUGUAUUACAGGGAAUAGUGGGUAAAAGCCGCAUGUAACAUAGGACACAAUGCUUUCUAUGUAAAUAUGUCCCUUAGAGUUCAGUAGGAAGGAAAAGUAAAGUAUUGUUACUGCAAAAGAUUGGCCAAGGAAUAUUAUAGAAUUGGCUUUGCUUAUAAUUUCACAUAAAUCUUGCAUUAAGCAUAAGGGACAUGAUACUUCAAACAAAGAAAUCUUUACAACUGAAAUGUGCAUCUCAACUUCAGAAAACGUAUCAGUAUCUAGUACCUAUGCAGGUUUUCAAACUAAAAUUUAAUAAUAAAUAGGCUAAGUUCUUGCUUAUCUUUUUUAUUUAUCAUGGUAAAGACUAGCUCUCUUCCAUCGUGUAUUGUAUGUUUUUUCAUUGUUGAGUACUCUUUCGCUGUUAAUUUACUUACAAAAAUAUUUGCAACGAAUUACUUCAAUUGUUUCACAAAAAACCCUAACCGUACCGAUUGUCGAAUUGAUCAAGUGCAUGUUGAUCCUGACGAGGUGUUGUGAACAGUUUGAACUUAAAUGAAUUUACAAUUGCUAUAAGUAAAAAUGUAGAUUUGCAUAACAUAAUUUCUAUUUUAUUUUAUACAUUUUUUGUUUUGGAGUCAUUCUUCAAUUGAAUUUGGUGUUGGUUCAUUUGUAAUCACUAUAGUUGAAAUUUUUUUUUCAAAAUUGGUUAUCAAAUAACUUAAUAAAGCAAUAAUAUUUGUUUUUAAUUGCAAAUGAUUGUUGUGUUAGAUUUCAUUUUUAGAGUCUUAGUUGUGUUAAAUUUUUACACAGUGCGCGAACACUGAAGAAAGGACUUACAUAAACAUAUUUUGAAACUAUUGCUUUUAUGUGUUAAACAGUAGCGUUUUUAUAAACGUUCGCGUGAAUAUUUUUUUUCAAAAGCGAAUACAUUGGAUUCUCAGCAAUAAUGAUUUAAUCAAUAUGAAAAGUUUUUGAUCGUAAGAUUUUUUGUAUUCUUGCGGAGAAUAAAUAUUUCCAGAGUUUUUUUUGAGUAUAUCGAAGAAUUGGGGACAUACAUUAAAAUUAAAUACGUUGUUGGCCCAAAAUUACUUUUUGUUUGAAGAGUUUGACACUCUUACGUACAUACAUCAACCAACGGUUAAGAUGAUAGAAAACUCGUGCAUUUCAUGUAAAUUGGAGAAAUAUUCUCAAAUCGGAGAAAAUUUAUUCCAUCAAUGAAGGUGUUAGAAAUAAGACAUAUUUGUUGACUAUCAAACUAAAUAUAAAACGUGAUAAAAUCUGUCUGCACAAAACACAAGAAAAUAUAUACAUAUUUUCAUUUUUGAUAUAAAUUUUACAUGUGGAUGUGAAAAGAAAUGAUCUUACUCCAACCAAAGCCAAUUCAAGAUUGGUAUAAAAUCAAUUAAGACAAGCAAUAUUUAUUUGUUUUGACAGUUGGCUCCGAAAAGCCUUUACUUACAAUUUAUACAAUACAUUAUUUUCAACAAGUUUUCUUAACAUUCUCAAAACACGUAAUGCCCACUUCCAAAAUAUAAUUGACCUCCAUUCAAAGAUUUAAUAAAGAAGUUUGUUUCCUGAAAAGUGGAUUAAGAAUGAUUUUUUUAUAAAAAAUGUUUUUAGGAUGCUUAGUUUUCUUUAAGAAAAACUGAGAGAACAAACAAGAAGAAGAAUCAAUACUUAUAGUUAAAGUUAUGCUUUAUUACCAAAUGCUGCAAUUACAAGAGUCACGUUAAUUAAACACUGUUUCGGAAGAUUGUUUUUUUUUUCAAUGAGGGACAAGCCCUGAUACUUACUAUUGUAAUUGAAUUGAAAUUUAUUUUGAAUUUCAUUUUAGUCCGGCCUUUGACUGUCGCGAGUCAAAACUAUUUGGAACAUUCUAAAUAAUCAAACAUUUUAAAAAUAGCGGUGUUUAAUUUUAAACAUUGAUAUUUACCAACCAAAAAUUGGUAGUUGACACUUACAAUAGAAUUUGUUUUCAUUUUAAACUCUUCAUUCAUAUAUGAAACUUUCAAAGUAUGGACAUUAUUUACUUCGGAAGUCCUUUUUUUUAUCGAAUUUCACUGAAAUGUAAAAUUGACACACUAGAUGUUUCAAAGCAAUAACAUACUUUUUUAAGUUAAGAAUGUAAUAGUUGUAGGGCUCAAAUGAGGUUUAACGGACUUGAAAGUUAACUAAAUUAAAUAAAACGAUGCAAUCAGGGGUUCAAAAACCUAUAAUUACACACAUAUUUCCGUGUAACUACCUGCAUAUUUCUUCAGAGGAAACUAAAGCGGAGAGUAACAAAAGUAUUUGUAUACCCUUUACACUACUCUCCAAACUACGAUAAUUGCUUUUGAGAUACGAGAACGCCAGUCUUGUACGCUUGAGUUCAAAAAUAUUCAAUCGUGCUGGUGAUUUGUUGCUGUACUACAUUGGAAAUUCAUGAAAGAAAAUAAAGACGUGUCUCGGUAUUGCGAAAGGCGAUAAUAUUAAAAGCAGAUACUCUAGGAGCUUCGUCAUACACAGGUUGGAUAGAAUAUCUACUAAUGCUGCAAAUAAUUGUUCAGAUGAGCACCCUAUGCUUUCAAUGUUAAAAGUGCACGUCAGCGUACUUGAAAUAUGGUCAAAAACUUUAUAUGCCGCUUAUACAGUUUAAAAUAUACGAGUGGUAGAUCAAAUUGAAUUCAUAGGUGUACUUGAAUGAUUAUCUAAUACAGAAGUUUUACUGCAGCACCUGCACAUACAUAUGUCUACUUUCAAUGUUAAAAGAGAAUGUCAGCGUACUUGAAAUGUGAUCAAAAACUUUGUACCUGCUUUGAACACAAUUUAAUUAUUAUGGUGGUUAAAUGCUGAUUUAACUAAGAACCAUUUGAUAGUUUGUAUGAUGGUCAAAAACUAUAUCUGCUGCUUAUACAGUAUAAUAGUACGAGAUUCAUCGUUGAAGUUGCAUUGCAGCAUCUGAACAUUCAAUGUUAAAAGAGAAUGUCAGCGUACAUAAAAUGUGAUCAAGUGUAGUUACUAAUGCUGAUUAAACUAAGAAUAAUUUGAUGGUUUGUAUGGUACUUUUCUGGAAAAGGAAGAACAUCAGUCAAGAUAAUGAGAUUUCGAUGUUGCUGCUUCCAAGGUCCCAAAAAGUGCAUUUGCUAAAUUGUAUGCAUGGUCGUUUUAUAAAGAUGACAUGACGAUGAUUAAGUUUUCUUUCUGGCUGGAAUCUUUAUUGGAUGUUAAAGAUGACGAUGAUGAAGUUUUCUUUUUGGCUGGACCCAUUUUUGGAUGUUAAAGAAUUCAUAUUUAUUAUAUACAAAAGUGGAAAAAACAUUUCGCUAGUACAAAGGUUUCUUGCAAAGCAGAAGACCUCAAAAUUGAAAUGCGAACAAUAAAAUUAUAAAAUAAAAUAAAAUGUUUUUAUGUAGACGAAACUAAAAAACAUGUAUUUCAAAUAAAAAUGUAUUCUAAUCGUAAAUUGUGUUCUUUAUUACCUUAACUCUUAUUUUGAACCGGAAAAGUCCAUAUAAUUAAUUUAUGAAACUUUUUGGUUGAAAUUGAUUCAGAGUUUGCUCAGUAUAAUAUAUACAUAGGUACAUACAUAUAAAGUCUCAUUAGGUUAAUCAAAGAUCAUUUCUAUGAAACUAAACUUUGUCAUAUGAAAGUUUAAGUACUACAAAAAACUAAAAUGCGGGUCUUCUAAAAACUUGUCUGUCUUGAACAAAUUUAUAAUAAAUCUAGCAAUAUGUUACAGAUAUGAGAUUGCUUGUCUUGAUUCUUACAAAGCUCAAACAGUUGUCUUAGAAUAGUUUUUGUUCAUAUUAACCUUAAAAAAUAAUUCAAUCGGCAUUACAGUAAACACAAUCAUUUUCAAAGUCUAAUGAUUCAGUUUUGUAGCUCUUUUUAUUCUUUACAAAGUGUUAGAAGUUGUAUCUAGA